Solanum stenotomum is the source of this 1168-nucleotide RNA transcript. RefSeq lists it as uncharacterized. Lineage: Eukaryota; Viridiplantae; Streptophyta; Magnoliopsida; Solanales; Solanaceae. The transcript is spliced from 4 exons. The record is from RefSeq and is a predicted model, not a curated record.
GGAGGCAAGCAAAGAGGCAUAAGUUUGGUUCCACUUCCCAGUACAGUAGCAUUUUUCGAGUUUUUCUAGCUUCUGAGUUAAGCAAAGGGCAAAAAUGGGAAUUUGGGACUUUAUAAGCUCCGGCACAGAAUCGGUGAAACGGAACUCACCGGAUCUAGCAACUCCGGUGACGAAGGUAUGCAAAAGUACCUAUUAUUACAGUGCUGCCGCCGUCAGAAUGAUCGACAACGUCGUUCGAGUUAACGGCGUGCAGAAUCUGGGUCAGUACAUUUACAUGCCUGAUGAAGAAGGCAGGGCUAAAAUCGUCAAUUUCAGUACAAAAUUCGUCAAAAAUGCUUCCGUUUAUGCCGUCAAAGAAGCAGCCAACAUCUUCAUUCCUGGUGGAAGAGCAGUCUCCCAAAUUUACUCUCAAACAGUCCGCGAAAUGCAAAUUGAGUCUAAAAAGAAUCAAAAUACAUUGUGCGACAAGGAAAUGACUGGCAAUUCGAGUAAGGAUACCAGUAGUACCAGUCCUCUGGGAUUGCUCGAUGGGGCAGAGAUGCUGGAAAACAGAGAACUGCAGUUAAGUUCUGACAAUAAAGUUCAGGUUGAUUCAUUUGCACCUGAAACACCUGAAGAUGUCCUACGAGUUUUCAUGAUGAAGGAAUUUAGUGGCUCUCGUUAUCUGGACAAUUUGCUGGUUCCUGAUCAUCGACAACAAAAGAAAGAUUCUAGUGGGAGUAAAAUCGUUAAGGAAAGAUCGAAGGAUAAAUCGCCUUCACGUCCUAGACUUGACAAACAAGAUUUUACUGUUAUGAGGGAGGAGAUGCAAGCAAAGAUGGAGAAACUUCAGGAUGACAUGAACAACAUGAAGCAGCAAAAUGAGGUGUCAGCUAAGUGUACCAACGGAUUAGAUUCCUUCGAGUUCUCUGACGAGCCUAUCAAGAGUUCAACGCCUACAAAAUCUAAACCAAAAAAGGUUUUAAUUCAUUCUCGAAUGUAGAAAGCAGUAAAAUCAUGGCAAUGAGGAAGCUGCGCUUUCAUCUUUCUUGACAAUAUAGGUUGUGCUUCUGUAAUUUUCUUGUGAUUUUGUAUUAUAACUGUAUAAUACAUGUAUUAUAUUAUCAUAUAGAAGUAUUAAACUGGUAUUAUGAUGUGCUUAACCACAUUGCCUGGUGUUACUUAGACA